AAAACUGCUUCCAUGGAUGUUGGCCAAGUCGGCUUCCACAAUCCGAAGAUGGUUCGAACUGUGAAAGUGGAGAAGCGUAUAAAUGAGCUAGUUAAUAGAUUGAACAGAACAAAAGUUGAAAGAAAGCCUGAUUUGAAAGCUGAGAGGGAAGCAGUAAAUUCAGCAGAAAGAGCAGAGAGAAAGCUUCAACUAAGGGAUAAAAAACGACGGGAGGAAAUUGAAAGGCUUGAAAAGGAGAGACAGGCUGAGAUAAGGAGCUACAAAGGUUUAAUGGUUUCCGAAAAUAUGACAUCUAACAAGCAGAUUGCAGCAGAAAACAAGUCCUUGCAGGAACUGGAAGAGGACUUUAUGUAAGCACAAUUGUAUGCAACUGUUAUACCAAACCUGCUGCUCCUCAAGAAUUGGGUUUUUCAUUCAGUGUGUAACUCUAGAUUCCUUCCUGCAAAAAUCACCUAAGUUUCCAGCCUGUAGUUCCAUGAUAUUGGUAAGA
RNAcentral lists this unclassified non-coding RNA (490 nucleotides) under Hevea brasiliensis (rubber tree). Lineage: Eukaryota; Viridiplantae; Streptophyta; Magnoliopsida; Malpighiales; Euphorbiaceae. The record is from RNAcentral.